UCCCCAGUAGCCUACAUGUCAAAGCUUCUCUCCUCACCUUCUCUUCUCCUUUCUUUCUCCCACUCUCUCUCUCUAACCUAUGGUGUUCGGUUUUGGUGAAGUGAAAGUUGGUGGAAAAGGUGUGGAGUGGCUGUUUUGAGCUGAGAAGAGGAGGUUUGAGCAGGGAAUUGGCUGGUGGAGAGGCAACCUAAGAUCCUAGUGUGAGUGGAGCGGUCGAGGAUCGUGACAAGAGCCCAGUAUCUUAGCUAGUGGACUCCCGAGUAUAGUUAUGUACCCUUUUUGGUUUCAUGAUGUAUAUAUUUGAUGAAAGGAAUUAUGUAAAAAUGAUGUAUGAAUGAGCAUGUAAAUGUUGUAAAUAACUAAAUGUAAUAGUUAUCCAGCCUUGUAUUUUAUUAAAAACUUCAAGAUACAGUAAAUGCAUGUUUAGUUAGUUUA
Ananas comosus (pineapple) is the source of this 435-nucleotide long non-coding RNA. RefSeq lists it as uncharacterized. The record is from RefSeq and is a predicted model, not a curated record. Lineage: Eukaryota; Viridiplantae; Streptophyta; Magnoliopsida; Poales; Bromeliaceae. The transcript has 2 exons.